Molecule: ribosomal RNA, 839 nt
Filed under: Potamyia flava
Lineage: Eukaryota; Metazoa; Arthropoda; Insecta; Trichoptera; Hydropsychidae
Description: 12S ribosomal RNA
Source: RNAcentral
AUAAAAUUUUAUCUAGAAACAAUUUCCAUUACUUCUACUUUGUUACGACUUAUCUUAAUUAUUUUUAAAACCUUUAAAAAUUAAUAAGAGCGACGGGCAAUAUGUACAUAUUUAAAAACAAAAAUCAUUAAAAAUAAAUAUUUCUAAUUACAAUUAAAUCCAAUUAAAAUUUUCAAUUUUUCAUUUUAAAAAUUAAUAAAUUUAUUUUUAUUAUUGUAAUUCAUUCAUCUUCUUAUAAAUAAACUGUAUCUUGAUUUGAUAUAAUUUUAAUUUUAACUUUUAAAAUAUUUUUUUUUUUAUAAAUAUUUUUAUAACAACGAUAUACAAAUUUUAAUUUUUUAUAAGUUAAAUAAAUUGUGGAAUAUCAAUUAUGAAACAAAUUCCUCUAAAUUGAUUUAAAUACCGUCAAAUUCUUUAAUUUUAAAUUUUUAUUUACUAAUUAAAAUUUCAAAAAAAUAUUUAAUUUAUAUAAUAGGGUAUCUAAUCCUAGUCUAUUUAUAAAAAUUCAAAAAUUUUAAAAACUUUAUUUUUAAUAAUUAUAUUUAAAUUUUUUAUUUUACCUAAUAAUUUAAAUAAUUAUUUUAAAUAAAUAAUCUUUUUUAUAUUUAAAUUUAAUAAUAUUUAUUUUUAUAAAUUGUUUAACCGCAAUUGCUGGCACAAUUUUAAUUUAUAAUUAAUAAUAUUACUAAAAUUAAAAUUAUUUAAUUAUUUUUAAAAUUAAUUAUUAUAUUUUAAUAAUUUAAUUAUAAUAUUAUUAUUUAAAUAAUAUAAAAUUUUUAUAAAUAAUUAUAUAUAAUUUAAAUUAAUAAUAAAAAAUAAACUAGAAAUAAUUUAAUAAU